CGCCACCACGCCUACCACGUACUCCGCACACUCGGCCGCCACUGCAUAUAAAAGGACGUACUGAUACAUCCUUCCGGCAUAACGCAAUUUUCGUGCAAAUAUAAUCUUCAUUUUCACUUAACUCUUCAAAAAUCCAACAAAAACCAAAAAUGGGCGCUGAAAAAGUUACCAUGAACAUCGUCAUCGUCGGGCAUGUCCAAUCUGCCAAGGCUAUCAAAUCGGUCGCCAAAGCAACUCCAGCCACCUGCAGCCAAAUAAUGAACUGUUAAUUGAAGUCCACAUCAAUCUCAAACUCAAAAAUGCCAUAGCCAAAACAGUACAUAAUUUUAUAAUUUGUUUUUAAUUAUAAUAAUGUGUAUUGACAUUGCAAAAUAAAUCAGUCUCUUCCGUCAAUGAAA
Molecule: long non-coding RNA, 398 nt
Organism: Acyrthosiphon pisum (pea aphid)
Lineage: Eukaryota; Metazoa; Arthropoda; Insecta; Hemiptera; Aphididae
Exons: 3
Source: RefSeq, a predicted model, not a curated record